Molecule: ribosomal RNA, 253 nt
Filed under: uncultured bacterium
Lineage: Bacteria
Description: partial 16S ribosomal RNA
Rfam family: Bacterial small subunit ribosomal RNA
Source: RNAcentral
UACAGAGGGUGCGAGCGUUACUCGGAAUUACUGGGCGUAAAGCGUGCGUAGACGGUUAUGUAAGUCAGGUGUGAAAGCCCCGGGCUCAACCUGGGAAUUGCAUUUGAGACUGCAUAGCUAGGGUGCGGAAGAGGGAAGCGGAAUUUCCGGUGUAGCGGUGAAAUGCGUAGAUAUCGGAAGGAACAUCAGUGGCGAAAGCGGCUUCCUGGUCCAGCACCGACGUUCAGGCACGAAAGCGUGGGGAGCAAACAGG